Molecule: ribosomal RNA, 406 nt
Filed under: uncultured bacterium
Lineage: Bacteria
Description: partial 16S ribosomal RNA
Rfam family: Bacterial small subunit ribosomal RNA
Source: RNAcentral
AUUGAACGCUGGCGGCAGGCCUAACACAUGCAAGUCGAGCGAUCGGCGGACGGGUGAGUAAUGUCUGGGAAACUGCCUGAUGGAAGGGGAUAACUACUGGAAACGAUAGCUAAUACCCCAUACCAUCAGCUGUGCCCAGAUGGGAUUAGCUAGUAGGUGGGGUAACGGCUCACCUCGGCGACGAUCCCUAGCUGGUCUGAGAGGAUGACCAGCAACACUGGAACGGAGACACGGUCCAGACUCAUACGGUGGGCAGCAGUGGGGAAUAUUGCACAAUGGGCGAAAGCCUGAUGCAGCCAUGCCGCGUGUGUGAAGAAGGCCUUCGGGUUGUAAAGCACUUUAAGCGGGGAGGCGUUACCCGAAGAAGAAGCACCGGCUAACUCCGUGCCAGCCGCCGCGGUAAUAC